Molecule: ribosomal RNA, 253 nt
Filed under: uncultured bacterium
Lineage: Bacteria
Description: partial 16S ribosomal RNA
Rfam family: Bacterial small subunit ribosomal RNA
Source: RNAcentral
UACGGGGGGGGCAAACGUUGCUCGGAAUUAUUGGGCGUAAAGCGCACGUAGGCGGCAUUGCAAGUCGGAUGUGAAAUCUUAUGGCUUAACCAUAAAAGUGCAUCCGAAACUGCAGUGCUUGAGUACUUAAGAGGAUCGCGGAAUUCCCGGUGUAGAGGUGAAAUUCGUAGAUAUCGGGAGGAACACCAGUGGCGAAGGCGGCGAUCUGGGAAGAUACUGACGCUGAGGUGCGAAAGCGUGGGGAGCAAACAGG